Molecule: ribosomal RNA, 491 nt
Filed under: uncultured bacterium
Lineage: Bacteria
Description: partial 16S ribosomal RNA
Rfam family: Bacterial small subunit ribosomal RNA
Source: RNAcentral
AGUGAACGCUGGCGGUAGGCCUAACACAUGCAAGUCGAACGGCAGCACAGUAAGAGCUUGCUCUUACGGGUGGCGAGUGGCGGACGGGUGAGGAAUACAUCGGAAUCUACUUUUUCGUGGGGAUAACGUAGGGAAACUUACGCUAAUACCGCAUACGACCUACGGGUGAAAGCAGGGGAUCUUCGGACCUUGCGCGAUUGAAUGAGCCGAUGUCGGAUUAGCUAGUUGGCGGGGUAAAGGCCCACCAAGGCGACGAUCCGUAGCUGGUCUGAGAGGAUGAUCAGCCACACUGGAACUGAGACACGGUCCAGACUCCUACGGGAGGCAGCAGUGGGGAAUAUUGGACAAUGGGCGCAAGCCUGAUCCAACCAUACCGCGUGGGUGAAGAAGGCCUUCGGGUUGUAAAGCCCUUUUGUUGGGAAAGAAAAGCAGCAGGUUAAUACCCCGCUGUUCUGACGGUACCCAAAGAAUAAGCACCGGCUAACUUCGUG